Long non-coding RNA from Neofelis nebulosa (Clouded leopard), 2375 nucleotides. RefSeq lists it as uncharacterized. The record is from RefSeq and is a predicted model, not a curated record. Lineage: Eukaryota; Metazoa; Chordata; Mammalia; Carnivora; Felidae. The transcript has 3 exons.
UUUUCCUAGUGGAAGAGAACAGCAUGUAGGUGAACUUGAGGCUGGAGGGAGGGGAGGGAUGCAAGCCAGUGGGCAGCCCCAGUAAAUGCCCUUACAGACAUACCACACUGGAAGGAACCAACAAAGAGCUUAUUCACCUUCUACUUUGGAAUUGUAUCUUAGGCGGGUAAACCUGCCAAUUCCAUUUAUGACAUAAGCAGACUAGUUCUUAACUGUUCAUAACCCAACAGACAACAACUUGAAAAUAUAACACUUUGCAACACCUGCCCAGGCAGGAUGACUUCCAGCUCCUUAGAGAAGCAUGAGGCAUCAAACGAGUGGGCCAUUCAGAAACUAACCGUCCAAAACGAACAGACACGUGAGCCCAAGACGCCUCCAGCCUCUCGAUUAGUAUCUAAACCGCCUUCCGUUGCGGCACUUCAGCAUUUAGCGUGGCAGCCGCUGACGAGGCCCAGCACGAGAGCCGGCCCGACUCCCACUCCUGACAGUGACCCCAGCUACCUCUGCAGUCACAUCUCCCUGUUUUCCACACUUCACUCUACAACUCGUGUCACUGGUGUCCAGGUGCUGGGAGUAGGGCCUGCCAGGUUAAAUAAGAGAUGCCCAGUUAAAUGUAAUUUCAGGUAAGAAAUGAUGAUUUUUUUUGGGGGGGGGGGGGAUAAAGAUGUCAAAAUACUGCAAAGCACAUACUUAUUCUAAAGUACUUGCCGUUUAUAUGAAAUUCAAAUUUAGCUGGGUGUCUUGUAUGUGUAUUUGCUAAAUCUGGCAAUUAUUUUAGCUGCAUAGUCCCUCAGGAUUCCUAUCAAAACGUAAUACAGAAAUACUCACUGGGAAUAGUUACAGAAGCAAGAGCUCCCACCCAGCGUCUUCUAAACUUCUUCCUCUGGUUGAUGUACUGUAAGAGACUACAGGACAGGUAAGUCAGCAAGAGUAGGACAAGAAAUCUUUACUGUUACAGGAAGGCAAAGGCAUCCCAAAACGAAAGCCGCUACGUUCUCACUUGAACGCGGCCUGAGGAUGCUUUGUACAAGACAGAGAGCUCUCCCUCUCAGUCCCUGCUGCAAUGGAAAAGAUACGAAAAAGGAAGAGACUUGUACUUUGAGAGGUACUAGGCCCCUUUCACAACUGUGAUUAGACAUUUUGAAGCAUUUUAAUAUUAACAAAAAGCCCAAAGUAGGAUUUGCUAAACUCAACUGGCCAGUUACUGAUUUAGCAUUAGAAUUUGCAGCUGUUUAUCUAAACUCCGUACCACAUGCCUUCCGCUCAGGGCUCACUAUUCUCCACUUCUUUCUUCUCAGCGCAGGACUUUCUCGUUUGCCUCAUAGACCAUAACCGACCCCCUCGUGAGAGGGAACAAGCUAGCGAGGAACAGAACGAGGAAUCCUACAGCUUUCCCCACUUGCCAAAAACAGAGCUCCUCUGGAAACCAAAAGAAAGUGUUGUUAUUUCUUACCUGUCGAUGACUAAGUUUCCAUCAUUGUUGCGGAUCCCUGCCCACAUGUCCCACAGCUCACUCUCAGAGGGGCGGGUGUACGGCCCAAAGACUGGGGUGAGACUGAAAGGGCCCGAAAGAGCAGAAAGACACAGGUGAAUGUUAAAGAAUCCAGAAUGUUAAAUAUGACUGGAACCCCACAGGUCACAGCGUCUGACCCUUAACUGAUUUGUGAAUCCCUUCUACCGCUUCCCUGGCAAAUGGCCAACAUCUGUGUUUUAAAAUAUCAAACCCUGGCCCAGAAUUUUAACGGCAACUUUUCACUACAUUGUUCCCAGGCUAUAGCGAAUCAAUAAUGACUUACCCUCGGGAGAAUACAAAGAAGUUCAUCAAUCGUGUCAGGAUGGGUGACAGCACGCCUCCAUCUUUGAGGAGCUGUAGGUGAAGAGUCAAUGAGAGAAAGCCAUGAGCAUCACUGAUAAAGGGAGAGACUCCCGUCCAAAUCUGCCCUUCUGGUAUUCAGGGGACAUCUGGAUAUUCAUGGACGUACAAGUCAGGCUCAAUGGCACACAAGGAAAAAGAACCCCCUCCAAAAGAUUGAAGCAAAGGUUCAGUAAUUUCUAAGUGAAACCUGGCAUUACCAUCAAUUAAGAGUUUUUGGGGGGCGCUGGGGUGGCUCAGUCAGUUGAGCAUCUGACUCUGGAUUUCAGCUCAGGUCAUGAUCUCACUGUUUGUGAGAUGGAGCUUUGCAUUGUCAACCACGGAGCCUGCUUGGGGUUCUCUUUCCAAAAUAAAUAAAAAUAAACAUUUUUUGAAAGAUUAAGAGUUUCUGGAACAAACCACAGGGUAUCAGGAGCGCCUGUGGUUUCAUCACAACUAUCUGCAUAACCCACUGCAGCGAGUGCUCUCCUCACGACCAACCGUGGUUGUUGCUAGACCUACC